RNAcentral lists this ribosomal RNA (164 nucleotides) under uncultured bacterium. Its description in RNAcentral is "partial 16S rRNA". It matches the Rfam family "Bacterial small subunit ribosomal RNA", at positions 355 to 511 of the family's 1533-position model. The record is from RNAcentral.
UAGGGAAUCUUCCACAAUGGGCGCAAGCCUGAUGGAGCAACACCGCGUGAGUGAAGAAGGGUUUCGGCUCGUAAAGCUCUGUUGUUAAAGAAGUACACGUAUGAGAGUAACUGUUCAUACGUUGACGGUAUUUAACCAGAAAGUCACGGCUAACUACGUGCCAG